RNAcentral lists this ribosomal RNA (301 nucleotides) under uncultured bacterium. Its description in RNAcentral is "partial 16S ribosomal RNA". It matches the Rfam family "Bacterial small subunit ribosomal RNA", at positions 509 to 807 of the family's 1533-position model. The record is from RNAcentral.
CAGUCGCCGCGGGAAUACGAAGGGGGCUAGCGUUGUUCGGAAUUACUGGGCGUAAAGCGCACGUAGGCGGACAUUUAAGUCAGGGGUGAAAUCCCGGGGCUCAACCCCGGAACUGCCUUUGAUACUGGGUGUCUAGAGUAUGGAAGAGGUGAGUGGAAUUCCGAGUGUAGAGGUGAAAUUCGUAGAUAUUCGGAGGAACACCAGUGGCGAAGGCGGCUAACUGGUCCAUAACUGACGCUGAGGUGCGAAAGCGUGGGGAGCAAACAGGAUUAGAGACCCCUGUAGUCCCUGUCUCUUAUAC